UACGUAGGUCCCGAGCGUUGUCCGGAUUUAUUGGGCGUAAAGCGAGCGCAGGUGGUUUAUUAAGUCUGGUGUAAAAGGCAGUGGCUCAACCAUUGUAUGCAUUGGAAACUGGUAGACUUGAGUGCAGGAGAGGAGAGUGGAAUUCCAUGUGUAGCGGUGAAAUGCGUAGAUAUAAGGAGGAACACCGGUGGCGAAAGCGGCUCUCUGGCCUGUAACUGACACUGAGGCUCGAAAGCGUGGGGAGCAAACAGG
This 252-nucleotide ribosomal RNA is filed under the name uncultured bacterium. Its description in RNAcentral is "partial 16S ribosomal RNA". It matches the Rfam family "Bacterial small subunit ribosomal RNA", at positions 524 to 776 of the family's 1533-position model. The record is from RNAcentral.